CUCCCGCCCGGGAACCACGUCGCUUCUCAGCAUCCGCUUCAACUCCGACAGGCCACGACAGGCCAGGCCAGCCGUACCCCAUCACUGCAAAUAAAACCCGCCGCUUACCUUGUAUCCGUCACUCGCCAAAGUUAAAUAUGACCUGCACUCACAGAGCAGACCAGCUUCCCAUCCUGACUAACAGAUUUCCUUGUUUUAAUGUGGAUUCGUGAGGCUCCAGCAGUUUGCCAACCACCCGGAGCGAAUUGUGAAAGGACAAUGACGGCAGCCGUGGACAUGCGCGCUGGGUGCUCGGGGCGGGGCUAACGUAAACGGAACCUGUCAAUCAUUUAGUAGACAAUGAGCUCAGAGCCCGCGCGGAUCAGGGAGAUGCUCAAGGUGUGGUAAUGUCCCUACGUCUGGAUCAGGGGGUCCGGCUUCAAGGCUCAUCUGUCCUGGAGGUUACGUGGACUUUACACACCAAUGAGGGAAUCAAGGCAUGAGAUUAUGGUGGAAUUCAGGUUGAAAAUCAGCCAGGAUCUCGAUGAAUGGCGAUGUAGCCUCAAUAGAUCUUCUUGCUUACUCUCUCUUCCAUCAACCUCCUCAGGUGGGACUUUCCUCACUACUCAGACAAAUAACCGCACGGUCAGAGAGAAACUGUAGCAAUGGUUUCCGAUCCUGUUAUCUCUGCAUCACUACUGAAUAAUCUCCUGAGUAUCCAUCAUUAGCACCUCUAAAGAUUGCAAACUCUACGGGAGACAUCCCUGAUGAAGGGCUUAUGGCCGAAACGUCGACUCUCGCUUCUUGGAUGCUGCCUCACCUGCUGUGCUUUUCCAGCGCCACACUUUUUGACUGGAGAAACUGUUCAUACAGAGUCAAUCACUUCAUGUAUUCAUCAUGCAAAGUAUGCAAUUGUUGUUGCAUUUACCGUAUAAUGGUUGGCUUUGCUAAAUAUCUUUGCUUGUAGUCAUUUAGCAGAACAUAUGUUCAUGAACAUUGCUGACAGUUUGUCAAGACGUUUCAUCUUCCACUCAUCAGGACAUUUUGCAACAACAGCGGUUCAAGGGGAAACGAACAUUUAUACUGUAUUAGGGGAGAGCAAGCCUCUCAUUUUCCAUGACAACUUCUCCACCAAUCAAUCAGAGUUAACUUGUCAACCAAUCAAUCCUGUCAUUUAGCUGUACAAUAUGGAAACAGACCUUUUGGUCCAACCCGUCCAUGCCGACUUGAUAUCUUAAAUUAAUCUAGUCCCAUUUGCCAGCUUUUGGCCCAUUUCCCUCAAAACCCUUCUAUUCAUAUUCCCAUCCAGAUGCCUUUUAAAUGUUGCAAUUGUACCAGUUUGCAAUUCCUAUGGCAGCUCAUUUCCCAUACGCCCCACUCUCUGUGAAAACGUUACCCUUUAGGUCCAUUUUAAAUCUUUCCUCUCUCACCUUACACCGAUGCGCUCCAGUUCUGGACUUCCCCAACCUGGGGAAAAGACCUUGGCUUUUCAUCCUAUUCAUGCCUCGUGAUUUUAUACACCACUCAGCCUCCGAUGCUCCAGGGAAAAUAGCCCCAGCCUAUUCAGCCUCUCCCUAUAGAACAAACCCUCCAAUCCUUGUAACAUCCUUGUAAAUCUUUUCUGAACCUUUUCAAGUUUUAUAACAUCCUUCCUAGAAUUGCACACAGUAUUCCAAAAGUAGCCUAACCAAUGUCCUGUACAGGCACAACAUGUCCUCUCAUGAAGUAUCAAUGUUGGUUUUCAUUUUGAGUACGUAUUCUUGCAAAUGUCCUGAUGAGUGCAAAUUGAAAAACUUUAACAAAAUAUGUUUUUCAGCAUUAUUCAUCUUCAUUUAUAGUUUAUUUCUUCUUUCAGAGGAUUUGGCCAGAGCUGGCUGGGCCAGCAUUUAUUGCCCAAACCCAUAUAUCUUUGAGAAGGUGACUUCUUGAAACCUUACAAUCCGUUUGGUGUAAGGACAUCCACAUGGCUUUAGUACAUCUUGUAAAUGGUGUAUACUGCUGCUAUGGUGUUGGAAGGAAUGAAUGUUCAUAGAUGUGCCAAUAAAGUGGAUUGCUUUGUUAA
Hemiscyllium ocellatum (epaulette shark) is the source of this 2041-nucleotide long non-coding RNA. RefSeq lists it as uncharacterized. NCBI's taxonomy places the organism in Eukaryota, Metazoa, Chordata, Chondrichthyes, Orectolobiformes, Hemiscylliidae. The record is from RefSeq and is a predicted model, not a curated record. The transcript has 2 exons.